GUGAACAUACCUACAACUGUUGCUUCGGCGGGUAGGGUCUCCGCGACCCUCCCGGCCUCCCGCCUCCGGGCGGGUCGGCGCCCGCCGGAGGAUAACCAAACUCUGAUUUAACGACGUUUCUUCUGAGUGGUACAAGCAAAUAAUCAAAACUUUUAACAACGGAUCUCUUGGUUCUGGCAUCGAUGAAGAACGCAGCGAAAUGCGAUAAGUAAUGUGAAUUGCAGAAUUCAGUGAAUCAUCGAAUCUUUGAACGCACAUUGCGCCCGCCAGCAUUCUGGCGGGCAUGCCUGUUCGAGCGUCAUUUCAACCCUCAAGCUCUGCUUGGUGUUGGGGCCCUACAGCCGAUGUAGGCCCUCAAAGGUAGUGGCGGACCCUCCCGGAGCCUCCUUUGCGUAGUAACUUUACGUCUCGCACUGGGAUCCGGAGGGACUCUUGCCGUAAAACCCCCCAAUUUUCCAAAGGUUGACCUCGGAUCAGGUAGGAAUACCCGCUGAACUUAAGCAUAUCAA
This 509-nucleotide ribosomal RNA is filed under the name Colletotrichum gloeosporioides. Its description in RNAcentral is "eukaryotic LSU rRNA". The stretch from base 148 to 301 matches the Rfam family "5.8S ribosomal RNA". Lineage: Eukaryota; Fungi; Ascomycota; Sordariomycetes; Glomerellales; Glomerellaceae. The record is from RNAcentral.